RNAcentral lists this ribosomal RNA (771 nucleotides) under uncultured Neocallimastigales. Its description in RNAcentral is "partial large subunit ribosomal RNA". It matches the Rfam family "Eukaryotic large subunit ribosomal RNA", at positions 18 to 634 of the family's 3401-position model. The record is from RNAcentral. Lineage: Eukaryota; Fungi; Neocallimastigomycota; Neocallimastigomycetes; Neocallimastigales.
UCAGACGAUGCGUCAUGCAUAUCAAUAAGCGGAGGAAAAGAAACUAACAAGGAUUCCCUUAGUAACGGCGAGUGAAGCGGGAAGAGCUCAAAUUUGAAAUCUUGAAAGGUCACCUUUCACGAAUUGUAGUUUAAAGAAGUGUUUUCUGUUACGAUCGUAAUAUAAGUUCUUUGGAAUAGGACAUCACAGAGGGUGAGAAUCCCGUCUAUGAUUGCGAUUUUCAGCUUUGUGAUACACUUUCAAAGAGUCGGAUUGUUUGGGAAUGCAGUCCAAAAUGGGAGGUAAAUUUCUUCUAAGGCUAAAUAUUGGCGAGAGACCGAUAGCGAACAAGUACCGUGAGGGAAAGAUGAAAAGAACUUUGAAAAGAGAGUUAAAUAGUACGUGAAAUUGUCAAAAGGGAAGCGUUUAACACCAGUGUUGUUUUCUGAAAAUCAACCUCUGUUAGCUUUAUGCAUGUUUGUUUAGACCUAAUCAGCUAUCUUGCAUGUUCUAUUGUUUGCAGUGGUGCACUUUUCAGUUUACAGGUCAACAUCAGUUUUUUUUACCGUAAAAAGGUUAAAGAAAGGUAGCUCAUGGCUCCGGUCGUGAGUGUUAUAGUCUUUUUCCUAUGCGGUAGGAGAGACUGAGGUCUGCAGUGUAGGCUAUUUGGCUAGAUACUCAGGUGCUAUGUGAUACCAUUUCAUAAACAACUUGUUGAUUAUGUUUUGUCUAUUGCAUACUCGCUUGUACUAUCAUACCUACGCUUAGGAUGUUGAUCUGUAGUGCGUGCGC